This is a long non-coding RNA of Dermacentor andersoni, 4118 nucleotides long. RefSeq lists it as uncharacterized. The record is from RefSeq and is a predicted model, not a curated record. Lineage: Eukaryota; Metazoa; Arthropoda; Arachnida; Ixodida; Ixodidae.
UGGUUGCUAUUUUGCCUUGUGUCGGUGCAUGUGGUUGCCUGCAAGAGACCUCACCUGCUUUCGUGAAUGGCUUUAGAUGAACGCCAAGAUACUCGCCACUUUUUCGAAAAGACAACAGAGUGACUGAAAGAAAGCUGACUGCUUGUGCACGUAGGACAUUCCCGUGGGUCGUUGUUCGGACAAAAGGGCCACGGACCAAGCUCCGCUACCCAGCAGACGAAGUCAUCUGUGGAGAAGGCAGGAACCUUUCUGUCGUGCCGGAGGAAGCAGCGGGCGUAUUUGUUACAAACUGUGCUAUGGAAAGGCCACGUACGUGAGGACUCCUGAAGAGCAGCGCGCAUGCGAGGAGCGGCGAAUUACUCUUCUCUCUGGUCCAGUCACAGCAGAUGCCCGAAAUGGCCGCGCAAGCCAAGUCGCAGGGCCAACGUCUGCCCAAGAAUCCCGGCCUUUAGACGUCCAUGGGGGCGUUGCCCAGAGGACCCGGGUCGGAGAGCGCCCCUUGUCAGCGCCUUAACAUCUCGACCAAGUUCUGGACUCGCUGACUGGAGUCGAGCAUCGCCUCUGGAGAUAUAUUGUCCAGCGUGUCCAGGUCGACUGCGGUGUGCAAGACGGUUUACACGGCUGUAUCCUGCAGAUGGCGGUCUACCUCGUGUCACUAUGGCGACGAUGUUAUAAGGUCCACCUGGCCCCUGUAGCAGUGACGUGAAAUGUAUCCGCUGCCGCGCGCUCAUGUGAGGCCACGGGUGCCAGUUGCCAGCAACGGAGGCGGCACAUUCCUCCAGUCUUGCCGGUGGUACGAACACUCCGCGAUGUCUCCCCGAAGCCGGAUGCUCCAAUUUGGAUGUCACUUGCAGCGUGCUCACCCGAAGUGGUGAUGAUGGCGAGGAUUUCACCCCCACGGAAUUUGAAUGACAACCCCUCGACCGGGAGCAACCUGGUGUGAGACCACCGAACAGCCGCUGACUCAGGCUGGAGAGGUUCAGCUCGAACGUCAGGUCUCGAACCUGUCUCUGAGUGGCCACAUUUAUCGUCACGACGACGAUGCAAUUGGAACCAUUGCUGAAAAUUCCACGAAACUCGUGGUUACGCAAACACAAAAAUAAAAAGGCUCAACACAGCGCUGGCCAUAGGGCCAGAAGAAGACGACGAUGGCGGCGUGUAACGCCGAUGACGUGCAAGACGACUCGUUCUUCGUGUACCACUAGUCGAACUAAUAAGUGUUUGCGGGGUAGUUCCUGGGUAGCCUAAGGAGAGUUUUGGGGCGGGUAAUCAAAAUAGAGCAUUGAUAACACGGGGGCGUACCGAGUUAACGAGUUGGUAAUGGCUGAGGAAACACAAGGAGGGUAAUGUUGGUGGAUGGCAUGAAUAGCCCAAAAAAUGGAAAACCAUGCACCGCGGCAAAAUGUGGAGAUGUUCACAGCAGCGUAUUCUAUUUGCGUACUGUGUUUUCCACCAAGCCACGAAGGUGGUUCGGUACCCUUUUAACCCUGUAAUGCACAACGCACAUUCUAUAUAGCACGCCGUUUGUUAAGUCGUAAUUUAAAUGUGCGCGUGCGGAACACAAGUGGCGAUAUUAAUUCAUCAGCCUAUUUUUACGUCCACAACAUGACUUAGUCCUCUCCCAACGAUCUCCAAUUACCGCUAUCCUGUGCCAACUAUUUCCAACUUGCACCUGCGAAUUUUCUCAUCAUGCCACCUCGACUGCACUUCCCUUUCUUGGCACCCAUUUGGUAACUCUAACGGUCUACUGGUUAUCCAUCCUACGCAUUACAUAGCCUGCCCAGCUCUAUUUUUUCUAAUUAUGUCGAUUAGAACAUCGGCUAUUCCUGUUUACCCUGCGAUCUAAAGUGCUCUUUUCCUGUCUCGUUACGGUACGCCUAACAUUCUUCGUCCCAUUGCUCUUCUCGCGGUUUUGUUCUCGAGCUUCUUUGCGAGUCUCCAAGUCUCUGCCCCUUAUGUCAGCACCGAUAAAAUGCACUGAUUGUAGACCUUUUUCUGCGAUAGUGUUAAGCUCCCAGUCAGGACCUGGCAAUGCCUGCCGUAUGCAUUCUAACCUAUUUUUACUGUUCUGUCAAUUUCCUUCUCUUGGUCAGUGUCCUAUAUGACUUUUGACCUAGUUAAACGGGCUCCUUCACGGACUACAGUAUCAGUGGCGAUCCUGAAAGUUUAUUCCAUUGCCAGACUAUUGAUCAGGAUCUUCGUGUUCUGCAUAAUCUUCAACCUCACUCUUAUACAUUCCUUGUUAAGGUCCUCAAUCCUUUGUCGUAAUUCCGCCCCAGUACUGCUGCACAGCUCAUCUGCAAGCGGAACGUUGCUGAGAUGUUAGCCGUUUAUCCUCACUCCUAAGCCUUUUCAUUUUAAUAUCUUCAGUGCUCCUCCCAAGCAUGCAGUGAAUAGCAUUGGAGAGAUGGUGUCUCCUUGCCUGACCACUUUCUUUAUAGGUACGUUUCUACUUGUGGAGAACAAAGGUAGCUGUGGAAUCUUUUUAAAUAUUUCCGAAGAUACUGACGCGUGCCUCCUGUACUUGACCACUUGAUGCGUCUAUGACUGCUGGUAUCUCUACUGAAUCGAAAGCAUUUUAGAGGGGCUUAUUGUACUCUGCACAUUCCUCCAUUACGUUAUUGAUGACAAUGGGGUGAUGUAUUGCAGAACAACACUUCCUGUAGCAAGCCUGUUUUCUUGGUUCACUGAAGUUUGGCCCUUAUUGGAAAUUAUCUUCGUGAAUUGGUUGGAGUCAAUUGCAGUUGGGAUUAGCAAUUAGCUAAGCAAUCUAAUUACAAACUACGGUGCUAGCUAUCUCUACUCAUACAAUCUAUUACUUUCAGUACAAACAUGCCCUCCAUGGCGACAAAUGAAGGAAAUUAUAGGAAUUUUUUUGAUGUAGAAUUGUUUGUGCAUUACAGGGUUAAAUGCUCCUCAAUACUAUUGGUGUUAGUGUUGCAUGUUUUCAACAGCAAACUAUGCAAAGUAAGUAUGCGAGAACUCCAGGAGCCAGCGGCCUCGUUAGCGGACAACGAAGCCUGAACUGACAAGUCGCUUCUACUGCUUUUCACAGCGCAUCUCGACCACACGUUGAGUACGUUGAAAAAUAUCGUAAUGACUUGUGAUGCGCGAGCCUCAACUGGCGCCUGAGUAUUGAUGGGCAGCAGGGAAAGUUACCCGUGCAGUUGGCAUCUUGCGUAAGCUCAGCAACCGUCGUAUAUCAAAUCAAGUUUGUUUUUCCAUAAGGAAAUGCAGGGAGGCCUGAACAAAAACGCGAAAACUAGUUCACUUGAAGGUUCAGGCCCCCGUUUACAUGUCAGACAGCCGAGGUGACCAGGGAAAGAAAUAAUUAGUAUAAUUCAGUCGCAAUAUGAGAGAUACAAGCACAGGUAUGAGUAAUAUAAGGGGAUGCAAAAAAUGUGAAGCAUAAAACAAUGUGAGCGGGAUUAACUUGAGAGAAUUAUGCAAAAUAUAUACAAAUCUACAACGUGUCCUACAGUUGCAUAAAUGAGCGUAAAAUGUUUUAUUUACAUGUUCUAUGGCAAUCUCGAUCUCGUGCAGAUAAUUCAGAUGAACAGGGGGAGAGUCGAAGCAUCUCCGUAGAAGAUGAUUGACGAGCCAUUGAAAUGUCGCAUGUACUUUCGUGCUGUUGUAAUUGUAUCGCGUACUUUUCUGAAGAGCUCCACCCUCUAUUGGAACGAGGAGCUGUGCGCUUAGCCAAACGCUUCCUUAAAGCUGUUCCAAAUAUUCGGCCUCUAGAAUCGAAAUUGCGUUUUCUAGUGCGGCUACCGCCUUUCGGCUUUUACAAAAGUUUUUUACAAUUCACAAGUAACCGCUAAGAUGUUCUGAAACCUUUUAUUUCCCGGCCAGCGUUAAUUCUGACCUGCAUACUUGCGAUAUACUUCCGAUUCCUGGCAGAUAUUGUAUGGUCAAUGAGGAAUUCGAUAUUUUUUGUACAGAUUGAAAAUAUUAUCGUAUUUCAGUAAUUGCGAGUGCAUAAAGUAGCAGCUGAGAAGAUCACUCUAUAGACGGUCUCCUCUUGAUUUUAUUCGUUGUGUGUGUGUUCUGCUUUACACACCCAAAUAAAUGCUUUACCUCGUGUAAGACCGUUAACGAGCUUCGAAAUAAACGUUCCA